RNAcentral lists this ribosomal RNA (601 nucleotides) under Streptococcus mutans. RNAcentral describes it as "bacterial SSU rRNA". It matches the Rfam family "Bacterial small subunit ribosomal RNA", at positions 365 to 958 of the family's 1533-position model. The record is from RNAcentral. Lineage: Bacteria; Bacillati; Bacillota; Bacilli; Lactobacillales; Streptococcaceae.
UCGGCAAUGGACGAAAGUCUGACCGAGCAACGCCGCGUGAGUGAAGAAGGUUUUCGGAUCGUAAAGCUCUGUUGUAAGUCAAGAACGUGUGUGAGAGUGGAAAGUUCACACAGUGACGGUAGCUUACCAGAAAGGGACGGCUAACUACGUGCCAGCAGCCGCGGUAAUACGUAGGUCCCGAGCGUUGUCCGGAUUUAUUGGGCGUAAAGGGAGCGCAGGCGGUCAGGGAAGUCUGGAGUAAAAGGCUAUGGCUCAACCAUAGUGUGCUCUGGAAACUGUCUGACUUGAGUGCAGAAGGGGAGAGUGGAAUUCCAUGUGUAGCGGUGAAAUGCGUAGAUAUAUGGAGGAACACCAGUGGCGAAAGCGGCUCUCUGGUCUGUCACUGACGCUGAGGCUCGAAAGCGUGGGUAGCGAACAGGAUUAGAUACCCUGGUAGUCCACGCCGUAAACGAUGAGUGCUAGGUGUUAGGCCCUUUCCGGGGCUUAGUGCCGGAGCUAACGCAAUAAGCACUCCGCCUGGGGAGUACGACCGCAAGGUUGAAACUCAAAGGAAUUGACGGGGGCCCGCACAAGCGGUGGAGCUGUGGUUUAAUUCGAAGCA